GGGAGUGAGAAGUAAGCGGAAAAGAUGUCGUGUGAGCAGUACUCCCGAUACGGCAGUGCGCUCAUGUGCCGGCUUGAAGGCUAGCGGGCUGAGCCAGGAGAUAGGAUGGGUCGGGUCUCUUUUGGGGGUUGGAGAUUCCAGGAUAACCUUGGCUUUGCAGAGGAGGGAAGUUUGUAGCCGUCUUCUCUCGCUUUAGUCGAGUGAUACAAGUUAAACUACUCCAAGGCCUAGCCAAAUCUCCCUGCAUUUUAGCAAAAAUAUGCCAGUGCCAAAGUCUCCCUAAAGAUCUUCGUCCAACACUAAAACCCGUAAAGGAAUUUGAAAAGACAACAUGCAAGACGCUGAUAGUAAAUCAAAACUUGGGUUUAUGCUGUUCUGCAACAGUAGCUGGUGGCUUGAAGUGUUUGUUUCCUGGACACAUCAACUGGAAUGUGUCAGCUGCAAACAUAAUAUCUCAGUUGAAGACUGUGUUCUGCAGAGGUGAAAAAAUGAAUGUUCCAUCCCUGAAAUCUUUCAGUACUUCCAGAAAAAUGAGUCACAAACUAAGCCUAUUGUAUACUGAGUGGCCUAUGAAAGUAGUAGAGAGGCAAUAUUCUUCUAUACCAACCGGAAAACUAGAAGUUCAACAAAUCAAGAGACCUCUAAAAGCAUCUAGGACCAAACAGCCAUCCAGGGUUAACCUUCCACUUUCUUCUGCGAAUGAGGUUUUUAAUUUCAGUUUGGUUUUCUUGGAGGCCAGUGAGUGAUUCUUAGAUUCUCCGUAAACACUGUAAUCCAGGGUCAUUGGAAAUAAUCAACAGAAGGAAGACAUUAGAAUUCAGGGGAAUUCGGAAAGACUUCCUGUUGAAAGUGGGAUUUUAACUAGGACUUCAUGGAAACCAGGGGGUGGAGAAGAGGAGGCAGAGAACGCUAUGCUGGAACCUGAUACACUGCACAGUCUUUGCAACAGUGGAUGAAUAUCAUCUUGGUAAUCUAUCUCAUGAACUAGGAUCUCAUGAAUAUAUGGAAAUAACCAACUUCCCUAGAGCCAACCUGGGAUAUUCCCAUAUUGCAGUUGGAUAAAAUGAGGCUAAGUGACUUGUCCAGAGUCACAA
Molecule: non-coding RNA, 1094 nt
Organism: Phascolarctos cinereus (koala)
Lineage: Eukaryota; Metazoa; Chordata; Mammalia; Diprotodontia; Phascolarctidae
Source: RefSeq, a predicted model, not a curated record